Pseudoliparis swirei is the source of this 900-nucleotide long non-coding RNA. RefSeq lists it as uncharacterized. The transcript has 3 exons. The record is from RefSeq and is a predicted model, not a curated record. Lineage: Eukaryota; Metazoa; Chordata; Actinopteri; Perciformes; Liparidae.
CGUAAAAUGCUAAUUAUUUUCUCCUGCCACCUUUCAGACAUUGUCAUCCAAUUUGGAUGGAACAACUUCGUGACCUUAAUGACACCCAGCAACACGGUGAGAUUAUAAUCCAUUUAAAUGCCAGAAGCAUGACAUUUUUUAAGAUGUUUUUUCUUUAUUUGUGUUAGAGAGAAGCACACAAGCACCACAGGGGAGGAUCUGCAGCAAAGGGCCCACCGGAAAUCAAACCUUGGCCGCUAUGAUGACGACAACAUGGGGCACUUGAGUGUGAAUCUAGCCUUUUCAUUUUGAUUUACAACCUUGGCAUUGAAAAGAGCAAAAGUUGAUGCUUGAGAUGAUUUUGGUUUUACUGAAGAGGAUGUACGUCUUCCCCUUGUCCUUUAUCUCCUUACUCUUUCUUUUUAGGUGUGACUACGACUACCAGCAUGAACCUCAACACCUUCUUUGCUGUUCCACUAGUGUGACCCAUGAUCGGAUGCAAGUUGUCAAGGAUAAACGGUGAGAGAAUCAUGUCAGCCCACAGACAACCGAUUGACCUGUGAGUCUUCAAGCAGUAAUGAUGACUACGCCUGCCUUAAGUUCCAGUUUCCUGAACAUCAUGGCAUGUCUGCAGGAUAUUCGGUCCCCACCUGUCUUCAGUCUGGACCUAAUGACUCAGACACCAGUCUUGUCGAGGCUAAAUCGAGAGAGGAUCACCUGAUGUCAACAUACGAGUUUUCAAGAAGAACUUCCUGAACUUUGUGUCUGUGUGAGACUACCAUGCUGGGUGCCCUCUUCAGUCAAGUCUGGACACAGAGACUCAUUGCUCUUAAUCAACUCUGGGCAAGUGGCUAAUCUUUUGCUUAUUCAUGGGAUAUCCUUCAUGUCCACAUCCUGUUUUUUCAAGAUCUCAACAAUGCU